RNAcentral lists this ribosomal RNA (504 nucleotides) under uncultured bacterium. Its description in RNAcentral is "partial 16S ribosomal RNA". It matches the Rfam family "Bacterial small subunit ribosomal RNA", at positions 29 to 523 of the family's 1533-position model. The record is from RNAcentral.
AUUGAACGCUGGCGGCAGGCCUAACACAUGCAAGUCGGACGGUAGCACAGAGAGCUUGCUCUUGGGUGACGAGUGGCGGACGGGUGAGUAAUGUCUGGGGAUCUGCCCGAUAGAGGGGGAUAACCACUGGAAACGGUGGCUAAUACCGCAUAACGUCGCAAGACCAAAGAGGGGGACCUUCGGGCCUCUCACUAUCGGAUGAACCCAGAUGGGAUUAGCUAGUAGGCGGGGUAAUGGCCCACCUAGGCGACAAUCCCUAGCUGGACUGAGAGGAUGACCAGCCACACUGGAACUGAGACACGGUCCAGACUCCUACGGGGGGCAGCAGUGGGGAAUAGUGGACAAUGGGCGCAAGCCUGAUGCAGCCAUGCCGCGUGUAUGAAGAAGGCCUUCGGGUUGUAAAGUACUUUCAGCGGGGAGGAAGGCGGUGAAGUCAAUAACCUCGCCGAUUGACGUUACCCGCAGAAGAAGCACCGGCUAACUCCGUGCCAGCCGCCGCCGUAA